AGCUAAUAGAUACCCCGGUAGUCCACGCCCUAAACGAUGUCUACUAGUUGUUGGUGGAGUAAAAUCCAUGAGUAAACGCAGCUAAACGCGUGAAGUAGACCGCCUGGGGAGUACGGUCGCAAGAUUAAAACUCAAAGGAAUUGACGGGGCCGCACAAGCGGUGGAUUAUGUGGAUUAAAUUCGAUGCAACGCGAAAAACCUUAACCUGGCCGUUGACAUGCCACUAACGAAGCAGAGAUGCAUUAGGUUGCCCGUAACGGGAAAGUAGGACACAGGUGCUGCAUGGCUGUCGUCAGCUCGUGUCGUGAGA
RNAcentral lists this ribosomal RNA (310 nucleotides) under uncultured bacterium. RNAcentral's name for it is "bacterial SSU rRNA". It matches the Rfam family "Bacterial small subunit ribosomal RNA", at positions 774 to 1072 of the family's 1533-position model. The record is from RNAcentral.